UACGGAGGGUGCGAGCGUUGUCCGGAAUCACUGGGCGUAAAGGGCGCGUAGGCGGCUCGUUAAGGGUGCGGUGAAAGCCCGGGGCUUAACCCCGGGUCGGCCGUGCCGACUGAUGAGCUGGAGCACUGUAGAGGCAGGUGGAAUUCCGGGUGUAGCGGUGGAAUGCGUAGAGAUCCGGAAGAACACCAGUGGCGAAGGCGGCCUGCUGGGCAGUGGCUGACGCUGAGGCGCGACAGCGUGGGGAGCAAACAGG
This 253-nucleotide ribosomal RNA is filed under the name uncultured bacterium. Its description in RNAcentral is "partial 16S ribosomal RNA". It matches the Rfam family "Bacterial small subunit ribosomal RNA", at positions 524 to 776 of the family's 1533-position model. The record is from RNAcentral.